This 151-nucleotide ribosomal RNA is filed under the name uncultured eukaryote. RNAcentral describes it as "partial small subunit ribosomal RNA". It matches the Rfam family "Eukaryotic small subunit ribosomal RNA", at positions 1651 to 1801 of the family's 1831-position model. The record is from RNAcentral.
CCCUGCCAUUUGUACACACCGCCCGUCGCACCUACCGAUUGAAUGAUUCGGUGAAACUUUCGGACUCUAGCAGAGACGCUUUCGGGCGACUCAGCCGGGGAAAGUUAUUUAAACCUCAUCAUUUAGAGGAAGGUGAAGUCGUAACAAGGUU